Molecule: ribosomal RNA, 253 nt
Filed under: uncultured bacterium
Lineage: Bacteria
Description: partial 16S ribosomal RNA
Rfam family: Bacterial small subunit ribosomal RNA
Source: RNAcentral
UACGUAGGGCGCAAGCGUUGUCCGGAAUUAUUGGGCGUAAAGAGCUCGUAGGCGGCUUGUCACGUCGGGUGUGAAAGCCCGGGGCUUAACCCCGGGUCUGCAUUCGAUACGGACAGGCUAGAGUGUGGUAGGGGAGAUCGGAAUUCCUGGUGUAGCGGUGAAAUGCGCAGAUAUCAGGAGGAACACCGGUGGCGAAGGCGGAUCUCUGGGCCAUUACUGACGCUGAGACGCGAAAGCGUGGGGAGCGAACAGG